GCAUAUCAAUAAGCGGAGGAAAAGAAACCAACAGGGAUUGCCCUAGUAACGGCGAGUGAAGCGGCAACAGCUCAAAUUUGAAAUCUGGCGCAAGCCCGAGUUGUAAUUUGUAGAGGAUGCUUCUGGGCAGCGGCCGGUCUAAGUUCCUUGGAACAGGACGUCAUAGAGGGUGAGAAUCCCGUAUGUGACCGGUUGGCACCCUCCACGUAGCUCCUUCGACGAGUCGAGUUGUUUGGGAAUGCAGCUCUAAAUGGGAGGUAAAUUUCUUCUAAAGCUAAAUACCGGCCAGAGACCGAUAGCGCACAAGUAGAGUGAUCGAAAGAUGAAAAGCACUUUGGAAAGAGAGUUAAAAAGCACGUGAAAUUGUUGAAAGGGAAGCGCUUGCGACCAGACUUGUCGGCGGUGUUCCGCCGGUCUUCUGACCGGUCCACUCGCCGUCGGCAGGCCAGCAUCAUCUGGGGCCGCCGGAUAAAGGCUCAGGGAAUGUAGCUCCCCUCGGGGAGUGUUAUAGCCCUUUGCACAAUACGGCGCGCCCCGGGUGAGGUCCGCGUCUCGGCAAGGAUGCUGGCGUAAUGGUCGUAAGCGGCCCGUCUUGAAACACGGACCAAGGAGUCGAUUAUCUAUGCGAGUGUUCGGGCGUCAAACCCCUACGCGUAAUGAAAGUGAACGGAGGUGGGAACUUCGGUGCACCAUCGACCGAUCCGGAUGUCUUCGGAUGGAUUUGAGUAAGAGCAUAGCUAAUCGGACCCGAAAGAUGGUGAACUAUGCCUGAAUAGGGUGAAGCCAGAGGAAACUCUGGUGGAGGCUCGCAGCGGUUCUGACGUGCAAAUCGAUCGUCAAAUUUGGGUAUAGGGGCGAAAGACUAAUCGAACCAUCUAGUAGCUGGUUCCUGCCGAAG
RNAcentral lists this ribosomal RNA (898 nucleotides) under Neodevriesia coccolobae. RNAcentral describes it as "partial 28S ribosomal RNA". It matches the Rfam family "Eukaryotic large subunit ribosomal RNA", at positions 38 to 966 of the family's 3401-position model. Lineage: Eukaryota; Fungi; Ascomycota; Dothideomycetes; Mycosphaerellales; Neodevriesiaceae. The record is from RNAcentral.